RNAcentral lists this ribosomal RNA (497 nucleotides) under uncultured bacterium. Its description in RNAcentral is "partial 16S ribosomal RNA". It matches the Rfam family "Bacterial small subunit ribosomal RNA", at positions 28 to 507 of the family's 1533-position model. The record is from RNAcentral.
GAUGAACGCUGGCGGCGUGCCUAAUACAUGCAAGUCGAGCGAACCGACGAGAAGCUUGCUUUUCUGAUGUUAGCGGCGGACGGGUGAGUAACACGUGGAUAACCUACCUAUAAGACUGGGAUAACUUCGGGAAACCGGAGCUAAUACCGGAUAAUAUUUUGAACCGCAUGGUUCAAAAGUGAAAGACGGUCUUGCUGUCACUUAUAGAUGGAUCCGCGCUGCAUUAGCUAGUUGGUAAGGUAACGGCUUACCAAGGCAACGAUGCAUAGCCGACCUGAGAGGGUGAUCGGCCACACUGGAACUGAGACACGGUCCAGACUCCUACGGGAGGCAGCAGUAGGGAAUCUUCCGCAAUGGGCGAAAGCAUGACGGAGCAACGCCGCGUGAGUGAUGAAGGUCUUCGGAUCGUAAAACUCUGUUAUUAGGGAAGAACAUAUGUGUAAGUAACUGUGCACAUCUUGACGGUACCUAAUCAGAAAGCCACGGCUAACUACGUG